AUUGAACGCUGGCGGCAGGCUUAACACAUGCAAGUCGAGCGGGGGAAGGUAGCUUGCUACCGGACCUAGCGGCGGACGGGUGAGUAAUGCUUAGGAAUCUGCCUAUUAGUGGGGGACAACAUCUCGAAAGGGAUGCUAAUACCGCAUACGUCCUGCGGGAGAAAGCAGGGGAUCUUCGGACCUUGCGCUAAUAGAUGAGCCUAAGUCGGAUUAGCUAGUUGGUGGGGUAAAGGCCUACCAAGGCGACGAUCUGUAGCGGGUCUGAGAGGAUGAUGCGGCACCAUGGGACUGAGCCACGGCCCAGGCUCCUACGGGAGGCAGCAGUGGGGAAUACUGGACAAUAGGGUGAACCCUGAUCCAGCCAUGCCGCGUGUGUGAAGAAGGCCUUAUGGUUGUAAAGCACUUUAAGCGAGGAGGAGGCUCUGUUGGUUAAUACCCGAGAUGAGUGGACGUUACUCGCAGAAUAAGCACCGGCUAACUCUGUGCCAGCCGCCGCCGUAA
This 501-nucleotide ribosomal RNA is filed under the name uncultured bacterium. RNAcentral describes it as "partial 16S ribosomal RNA". It matches the Rfam family "Bacterial small subunit ribosomal RNA", at positions 30 to 523 of the family's 1533-position model. The record is from RNAcentral.